GAGCCCUGGCUGAUGACGGGACCACUAUGCAGUCUGAGUUCUGGGAACCACCUGAUGGAGCGUGUCCUGAGAACUGAGGCUG
Molecule: small nucleolar RNA, 82 nt
Organism: Tupaia belangeri (northern tree shrew)
Lineage: Eukaryota; Metazoa; Chordata; Mammalia; Scandentia; Tupaiidae
Source: Ensembl